CCUACGGGAGGCAGCAGUAAGGAAUAUUGGACAAUGCUCGCAAGAGUGAUCCAGCCAUGCCGCGUGCAGGAAGAAUGCCCUAUGGGUAGUAAACUGCUUUUGAACUAGAGAAAACCCCAGUACGUGUACUGGGCUGAUAGUAUAGUUAGAAUAAGCAUCGGCUAACUUCGUGCCAGCAGCCGCGGUAAGACGAAGGAUGCAAGCGUUAUCCGGAUUCAUUGGGUUUAAAGGGAGCGUAGGUGGACUGAUAAGUCAGUGGUGAAAUCUCCGAGCUUAACUCGGAAAUUGCCAUUGAUACUGUUGGUCUUGAGUACAGUUGCUGUGGGCGGAAUAUGACAUGUAGUGGUGAAAUACAUAGAGAUGUCAUAGAACACCGAUUGCGAAGGCAGCUCACAAAGCUGUAACUGACACUGAGGCUCGAAAGUGCGGGGAUCAAACAGGAUUAGAUACCCUGGUAGUCCGCACCGUAAACGAUGAUUACUCUCNGNGUAGGGACGACCGUUACGUAGUCGUUAGUACGAAGACGUAAGUAAGUAAGUUACGUUACCGUACGGGUUAGGGUUACGGUCCGGCCGGACGGUUACGGAACGUUACGAAGGAAGUUAGACGGCGNGAGACGNGCGACGGACGACGACGAGGAGGUUAGG
This 647-nucleotide ribosomal RNA is filed under the name uncultured bacterium. RNAcentral describes it as "bacterial SSU rRNA". The stretch from base 1 to 532 matches the Rfam family "Bacterial small subunit ribosomal RNA", at positions 338 to 1533 of the family's 1533-position model. The record is from RNAcentral.